RNAcentral lists this ribosomal RNA (253 nucleotides) under uncultured bacterium. Its description in RNAcentral is "partial 16S ribosomal RNA". It matches the Rfam family "Bacterial small subunit ribosomal RNA", at positions 524 to 776 of the family's 1533-position model. The record is from RNAcentral.
UACAGAGGGGGCAAGCGUUGUUCGGAUUUACUGGGCGUAAAGGGCGCGUAGGCGGCCUGGCAAGUCACUUGUGAAAUCUCCGGGCUUAACUCGGAACGGCCAAGUGAAACUGUCAAGCUAGAGUGUGGAAGGGGCAAUCGGAAUUCUUGGUGUAGCGGUGAAAUGCGUAGAUAUCAAGAGGAACACCUGAGGUGAAGACGGGUUGCUGGGCCAACACUGACGCUGAUGCGCGAAAGCCAGGGGAGCAAACGGG